ACUCCUACGGGAGGCAGCAGUGGGGAAUUUUGGACACUGGGCGAAAGCCUGAUCCAGCAAUGCCGCGUGAGUGAAGAAGGCCUUCGGGUUGUAAAGCUCUUUUGUCAGGGAAGAAACGGUGAAAGCUAAUAUCUUUUGCUAAUGACGGUACCUGAAGAAUAAGCACCGGCUAACUACGUGCCAGCAGCCGCGGUAAUACGUAGGGUGCAAGCGUUAAUCGGAAUUACUGGGCGUAAAGCGUGCGCAGGCGGUUUUGUAAGUCUGAUGUGAAAUCCCCGGGCUCAACCUGGGAAUUGCAUUGGAGACUGCAAGGCUAGAAUCUGGCAGAGGGGGGUAGAAUUCCACGUGUAGCAGUGAAAUGCGUAGAUAUGUGGAGGAACACCGAUGGCGAAGGCAGCCCCCUGGGUCAAGAUUGACGCUCAUGCACGAAAGCGUGGGGAGCAAACAGGAUUAGAUACCCGAGUAGUCCCA
Molecule: ribosomal RNA, 471 nt
Filed under: uncultured organism
Description: partial 16S ribosomal RNA
Rfam family: Bacterial small subunit ribosomal RNA
Source: RNAcentral